AUUGGAGCUGUAGCCACCAGCCUACGCCACAGCCACAGCCACAGCCACACCGGAUCCAAGCUGCAUCUGCAAUCUACACCACAGCUUGCAGCAACGCGGGAUGCUUCACCCACUGAGUGAAGCCGGGGUGGAACCCGCAUCCUCAUUGACACUAUGUCAGGUUCUUAACCCACUGAGCCACAGCAGGAGCUCUUGUUCCUACUUCAUUGUACUGAUUUUUCCACCCAGUACCAGGGUGGAUGAGGAUGCUUUGUGCUGAUGAUCUUACUUUUCACUUGGCAUAAGUGUUAGGGAACUAAACUUGGCUCUGCUUGCCUGUGCGCAGUAAAGCCAAUCUACUGACCCAGGGCUGUGGUGAAGAAAAGUAGCGUUUUUCGCAGGCACCACAUAAGGAGCCCAGGCAACUAAUGUUCAAAGGGCCCCGAGCUUCCAGCUGGCUUUCAAGGAAAGGUUUUGAAAGACAGGGUGAGGGAGAGGGUUGUGGGUCUUGUGAUCAGACCAUGGACCUUCUUCUGAUUGGUUGAUGGUGACAUCAUUGGGUUCCAACCAGACUGGGCUCUGCCUACUUGUAGUCAGCAUACAGGUAACUCCUCCCACCUGGUGGAGGUUUCAGUCUCAGCCAAAUUGCUCAAGGAUAUAGCUCAGAAUAUUAUCUGCAGCCCUUGAGGAGGAACCAAAAGUCUCUGACUUUGUUGAAUAGCUAAACUAAUAUUAUUUUUUCUUGCCUGACAGUUUCUCUUGGUCUCUGCAUUUUUUCACUUCUCUAAGUUUAUUCCUUGAAACUCAGGGAAGGCCUAGAAGGUUAAAGUUUUUCUACAAACAAGAGGCAGCUGGAGGACAUGGGAGGGCGGGUCUGCCCUGGGAAAGGCCCCCACAGGGUCCUGCUUGGUUACAGCAGGGCAUGUGUCCUGCAAGAAGACAUGUGUCCUGCAAAGUUUCUGGCCCUGCUGAAGGAAGGUAUGCCUGCGUCAUGGAAUGUAGAUGACCCAACCUACUACCUAGAAGCCUGCUAUCUAGACCCAGCCUUCUACCUAGAAGAAAGUUUAACAGCAGUGAAAACGGAAGGUGGAGGGAAGAAGCCACCCUGUGACCCAUUGUUCCUCACACAGAGGACAGAAUAGAUGCUGCUGGUCCUAGUUCCUCUGGACUGUCUACCUUGCUUCUGAAGGAGAUCGCCUGUGAGGUGAGAGAGCAUCCGUGGGCUGCCAUCAGGCAUCCCACUAAAUCCCUUUCAGCCCUUUCUGUUCUCUAAAUUGACACAUUGUAAACAUUUCUCUAGCUGAGUGCUGAAGGAGGCAGCAAUGAGUACAAAGCCGGCAGCUCAGGUCACCCGGGGGCAUGCCAAUAGCUGUGCCUAAUGACAAUAUGGGAAAACCCAAUUAGGCUCCAGAAAGUUCCCUUGAGCAAUCCCUGAUGCGGUGUUGACUUUUGUGAGGCCUCAGCAGUGCAGAGCACCUGCAAAAGGGCUCAUUAGCUACAGGAAGUGGCUUUCGCUGUUCCACUGCACCUCCAGCUCAGAAACAUCAAACUCCUGGCAGGUAGAGCCUGUCAGCAGCUUAGGGAAUCUUUCCUUUGGUUUCAGUUUACUAAGUUUAGCAACCUCUUCAGUCACCUGUGAAGGAACCAAAAAUCCACAGUAAACUGCAGCCAAUUCACCCAUUAAUACUGGUUAUGACCAUGAACACUGCUUAUUGUUGUAGCAUUCCAAGCACCAGAAAGCCCUUUUGAGAAUUAGUAUCUCUGCUCAAAUAUAGGAUUUGUAUGUUCUCCCCACAGAGCUUACCCUUUUCCAUGUCCUAUUUCGCCACAUCAAAAAAUAACCUGUCACAUUUACUAUCACUAUUUAUUUUAGUUUGUUUGAUUUGCCCUGCAAAAACCUUUUAUGUUAUAUUUUUUCCUGGAUAUACACAAAUCUUCCUCAAUUUAUAGCCGGGUUAUGGCCUGAUAAAGCUAUUUUAAGUUGAAUAACCCAAGGGGAAAAUGCAAAGAAUAUACCUGAUCACCUAAGCCAUGGAGCAGCAUGGCAUCUCCUAAUAGAUACUUAAGCAUACUCAGAACACAUGAGCCUACAGUUGGGCAAAAUCAUCUAACACAAAGCCUAUUUUAUAAUAAGGUGUUGAAUAUCUCAUGUAAUUUGUUGAAUACUGAAAGUGAAAAACAGAAUGUUUGUGUGGGUCCAGAAUGAUUGUAAGUGUAUCAGUUGUUUGACUGGGAGCUGUGGCCACUGCCCAGUGUCAUGAGAGAACAUGGUACAACACAUUUCUAGCCUGGGAAAAGAUCCAAGUUCAAAAUACAAAGUAUGGUUUCUACUGAAGGCCUAUCGCUUUCACACCCUUGUCGAGCAGGAAAAUCAUUAAGUAGAAUCAUUUUAAGUUGGGGACCAUCUAUAAAUUAAUUCCACUCAUAGUAGAGUGACUUCGGAGAUGAAUACAAAGGGAAUUUUUAAUUACACAAGUCUCUCUUUCCUUCAUAUGAUUGGUCUUUACUGUGUACUAUAUGCCUACACUCUUCUAGAUCCUGGGGAUACAGCAGCCAAUAAGAGACAAAAACCCCUUCCCUUAUGGAAAGUGGAGACUUUCCUGAAUAAAUAAAAUAUAUAACAAUGCA
This 2607-nucleotide long non-coding RNA is filed under the name Sus scrofa (pig). RNAcentral describes it as "lncRNA (ENSSSCG00060023580.1)". Lineage: Eukaryota; Metazoa; Chordata; Mammalia; Artiodactyla; Suidae. The record is from RNAcentral.